This 378-nucleotide unclassified non-coding RNA is filed under the name uncultured fungus. RNAcentral describes it as "partial internal transcribed spacer 1". The record is from RNAcentral. Lineage: Eukaryota; Fungi.
CUCCAUCGGUUUGGCUCCAUCAUAAACCUGCAUAAUGGCAUCGCCCGCGUUCCGUGCAAGCUGGCAUACUUGUUCUAACAUUCUCCACCUCUUUAUGACGGGGGCGUUAACUCGUUGUUUUACUUAUACCCGAUCGUUAAGGGUUCCGCCAACUGUGAUACCGUCAGCGGUUUUGAUAAUAGCUUUCAUGGCAUGAUUCACCUUUCUGUGAACACUCGCAAAAAAUCGGCCGGAUGGGGCGGUUUCGCCUUCUUCUGGCGACGGUUGGAACGAUAUCGGGUUUCACUGUUUGUCAUCGCUAUUUUUCACUAUCCGGCUUUUCUAUUGCGUUCUUAAAAGGUGCCUCUGAUGAUUAAGUUUAGUGCAACGCUUCUGGCU